RNAcentral lists this ribosomal RNA (253 nucleotides) under uncultured bacterium. Its description in RNAcentral is "partial 16S ribosomal RNA". It matches the Rfam family "Bacterial small subunit ribosomal RNA", at positions 524 to 776 of the family's 1533-position model. The record is from RNAcentral.
UACAGAGGUGGCAAGCGUUGUUCGGAAUUACUGGGCGUAAAGGGCGCGUAGGCGGUUCGUUAAGUCCUGUGUGAAAUCCCCCGGCUCAACUGGGGAACUGCACAGGAAACUAGCGGGCUUGAGUACGGUAGGGGAGCGGGGAAUUCCUAGUGUAGCGGUGAAAUGCGCAGAUAUUAGGAGGAACACCGGUGGCGAAGGCGCCGCUCUGGGCCGAAACUGACGCUGAGGAGCGAAAGCGUGGGGAGCGAACAGG